RNAcentral lists this transfer RNA (71 nucleotides) under Marmota marmota marmota (Alpine marmot). It matches the Rfam family "tRNA". Rfam says of the family: Transfer RNA (tRNA) molecules are approximately 80 nucleotides in length. Their secondary structure includes four short double-helical elements and three loops (D, anti-codon, and T loops). RNAcentral also lists the same sequence under 2 other names. The record is from Rfam by way of RNAcentral. Lineage: Eukaryota; Metazoa; Chordata; Mammalia; Rodentia; Sciuridae.
UGGGUUGUGGCUCAGUGGUAGGGUGCUUGCUUAGCAUGCACGUGGCCCUGGGUUCAUCCCCAGCACCACAA